GACAGAGGGUGCAAACGUUGCUCGGAAUUACUGGGCGUAAAGCGCGUGUAGGCGGACCUUCAAGUCGGAUGUGAAAGCCCUAAGCUCAACUUAGGAACUGCAUCCGAAACCGAAGGCCUAGAGUGGUGGAGAGGAAAGCAGAAUUCCUGGUGUAGAGGUGAAAUUCGUAGAUAUCAGGAGGAACACCGGUGGCGAAGGCGGCUUUCUGGACACUUACUGACGCUGAGACGCGAAAGCGUGGGGAGCAAACAGG
This 253-nucleotide ribosomal RNA is filed under the name uncultured bacterium. RNAcentral's name for it is "partial 16S ribosomal RNA". It matches the Rfam family "Bacterial small subunit ribosomal RNA", at positions 524 to 776 of the family's 1533-position model. The record is from RNAcentral.